CUUAUCAAGAGUGGCGGAGGGUACGGCCCUGUGAAGCCCGGCAACCUGCUUCGUUCUUCGGAGUAAGGUGCCAAUUCCGGCGUGAGACGAGAGAUGAG
This 98-nucleotide non-coding RNA is filed under the name bovine gut metagenome. Its description in RNAcentral is "SAM riboswitch (S box leader)". It matches the Rfam family "SAM riboswitch aptamer (S box leader)". From Rfam's summary of the family: The SAM riboswitch is found upstream of a number of genes which code for proteins involved in methionine or cysteine biosynthesis in Gram-positive bacteria. The record is from RNAcentral.